RNAcentral lists this ribosomal RNA (253 nucleotides) under uncultured bacterium. RNAcentral's name for it is "partial 16S ribosomal RNA". It matches the Rfam family "Bacterial small subunit ribosomal RNA", at positions 524 to 776 of the family's 1533-position model. The record is from RNAcentral.
UACGAAGGGGGCUAGCGUUGCUCGGAAUCACUGGGCGUAAAGCGCACGUAGGCGGACUCUUAAGUCGGUGGUGAAAUCCUGGAGCUCAACUCCAGAACUGCCUUCGAUACUGAGAGUCUCGAGUCCGGGAGAGGUGAGUGGAACUGCGAGUGUAGAGGUGAAAUUCGUAGAUAUUCGCAAGAACACCUGUGGCGAAAGCGGCUCACUGGACCACAACUGACGCUGAGGCGCGAAAGCUAGGGGAGCAAACAGG